Long non-coding RNA from Ostrea edulis (European flat oyster), 1103 nucleotides. RefSeq lists it as uncharacterized. The transcript is spliced from 2 exons. The record is from RefSeq and is a predicted model, not a curated record. Lineage: Eukaryota; Metazoa; Mollusca; Bivalvia; Ostreida; Ostreidae.
CAAAAAACACCGUACGGUUUCUUCACGGAUCACUGAAUGUGGGCGGAUUUGUAUAUAGUGUAUAUGUAAUGUGCACAUUUUGUUUUCAUUUUCAUAAUCUUUAACCUUUCUAAAUAAAUUUAAAAAGUUCAAAUGUUUGAAUAAAAGCAUACAGUCAUACUUUAUAUUGAUAAGAGACGAAGUACAUGACUUAUCGGACAGGAUCUAACAUAUACUUCAAUUGUCAUCAUUUAUAAGAUUUUUCUGAUGAACACUCUCAGAAACAAAAUGGACUUUUAUUCCCUGAAACAUUUUUAUAAGUUAAGCUUAAUUAAGAGUAGAUACUGUAAUAGAGUGAUCUUUGGGUUAAUGAAUAAAUUUUGCUAUAGAUAUAUGCUUCAAUGUAUUUUACUUUAGAAAACCCUAGAUCCACUCCUUUAUUUCUCUAGCCCUUACAUGUACAUAUAUAGGUGAACACAUUUAAUAGUCAUUACCUUAAGGCAUAUGUUAAAGGUCUUGUAGUGUUCUUGAACUUCAUUGGUUGUGUUUUGUGAAGUUGCUUUUGGUUGGUUUUUAUUGUUUUGGUCAUUGGGUUUUACCGCCAAAAUUGAGCAUUCUUUGUCUAGUUUUGAGAGAGGACAGACUUCAUAUCGACAACAUUGACUAAGACCUUCUAUAAAGACUUUUCCGAGUCCAUGUACAUAUCCACAUAGAUAUAUAUACCCUGUACUUGUAUGUGGAAGCCUCUUCCCAUAGAAUGGUAAAUAUAUGAUUUAAGUUUUAAUGAUAAUGUAUUCUUAUGACUAUGAGAGAAAUCUGUUCAUACCAGUAUAUGUAACUUUAAGAGUUGUCUCCCUUUAUUGUGAUUUUGAUACAAGUAAUACAUUUAUCUUGAUGGAAAUUACAUUCAUUAAUCAUAUAAGUAAUAUUGUCAAUUAUUAAUUAAUGCACUCUGUGAUAUCAUAUUAUUGUUAUUUUACCUGUAUUGCAGGGCUGUAAAAAUAUGUGCAUAUGAGAUAUCCUUCACUGUGAUAUUAAAUUCCCUGAACCCAUACAGGAGUUGCUUAUUAUGAAACUACAAACCUGUUACAAUACAUUUAUUUUAAUAAAGGAAUUCUGACAUU